This 1472-nucleotide ribosomal RNA is filed under the name metagenome. RNAcentral's name for it is "bacterial SSU rRNA". It matches the Rfam family "Bacterial small subunit ribosomal RNA". The record is from RNAcentral.
AGAGUUUGAUCCUGGCUCAGGAUGAACGCUGACGGAAUGCUUAACACAUGCAAGUCAACCGGGACCUUUCUUCGGAGAGUAUAACGGUGGCGGACGGGUGAGUAACGCGUGAGAAACUUACCCCAUAGACAGGGAUAACCAUUUGAAAAGAUGGCUAAUACCGGAUAAGCCCACACUACGGCAUCGUAGAGAGGGAAAAGAUUGCGCUAUGGGAGAGUCUCGCGUCCUAUUAGCUAGUUGGUGAGGUAAUGGCUCACCAAGGCGACGAUAGGUAGCCGGCCUGAGAGGGUGAACGGCCACAAGGGAACUGAGACACGGUCCUUACUCCUACGGGAGGCAGCAGUGGGGAAUAUUGGACAAUGGGGGAAACCCUGAUCCAGCAAUUCCGCGUGUAUGAUGAAGGCUUUCGGGUUGUAAAGUACUUUCAAUGGGGAGGAAAAAAUGACGGUACCCAUAGAAGAAGCACCGGCUAAUUACGUGCCAGCAGCCGCGGUAAGACGUAAGGUGCAAGCGUUAUCCGGAAUUACUGGGCGUAAAGGGCGUCUAGGCGGCAAUGCAAGUCAGAGGUGAAAAGUCUGGGCUCAACCGAGGCCUUGCCUUUGAAACUGCAUAGCUAGAGUACGGGAGAGGAGGGCGGAACUACAAGUGUAGCGGUGAAAUGCGUAGAUAUUUGUAGGAAUGCCAAUGUCGAAGGAAGCUCUCUGGACCGAUACUGACGCUAAAGCGCGAAAGCUAGGGGAGCAAACAGGAUUAGAUACCCUGGUAGUCCUAGCUGUAAACGAUGGAUACUGGGUGUGGGUCCGUGAAGGAUCUGUGCCGGAGCAAACGCGAUAAGUAUCCCGCCUGGGGAGUACGGUCGCAAGACUAAAACUCAAAGGAAUUGACGGGGACCCGCACAAGCGGUGGAGCAUGUGGUUUAAUUCGACGCAACGCGAGGAACCUUACCAGGUCUUGACAUCCUAAGAAUCAUCCAGAGAUGGAAGAGUGCCCUUCGGGGAACUUAGAGACAGGUGGUGCAUGGCUGUCGUCAGCUCGUGCCGUGAGGUGUUGGGUUAAGUCCCGCAACGAGCGCAACCCUUAUCGUUAGUUACCAUCAUUAAGUUGGGGACUCUAGCGAGACUGCCUGCGACGAGCAGGAGGAAGGUGGGGAUGACGUCAAGUCAUCAUGCCCCUUAUGACCUGGGCUACACACGUGCUACAAUGGGCGGCACAAAGAGAUGCGAAAGGGUGACCUGGAGCGAAACUCAUAAAACCGUUCUUAGUUCGGAUUGAAGUCUGCAACUCGACUUCAUGAAGUUGGAAUCGCUAGUAAUCGCAAAUCAGCAAUGUUGCGGUGAAUACGUUCUCGGGUCUUGUACACACCGCCCGUCACACCACGAGAGUUCUUUGCACCUGAAGUUACUGGCCUAACCCGAAAGGGGAGGAGGUACCGAAGGUGUGGGGGGUAAUUGGGGUGAAGUCGAAACAAGGUA